GCUGGCGGCAGGCCUAACACAUGCAAGUCGAACGCCCCUUCGGGGGAGUGGCAGACGGGUGAGUAACACGUGGGAACGUGCCCUUCGGUCUGGGAUAACUCAUGGAAACGUGAGCUAAUACCGGAUACGCCCUUCGGGGGAAAGAUUUAUCGCUGAAGGAUCGGCCCGCGUCGGAUUAGCUUGUUGGUGAGGUAACGGCUCACCAAGGCGACGAUCCGUAGCUGGUCUGAGAGGAUGAUCAGCCACACUGGGACUGAGACACGGCCCAGACUCCUACGGGAGGCAGCAGUGAGGAAUAUUGGACAAUGGGCGCAAGCCUGAUCCAGCCAUGCCGCGUGAGUGAUGAAGGCCUUAGGGUUGUAAAGCUCUUUCACCGGUGAAGAUAAUGACGGUAACCGGAGAAGAAGCCCCGGCUAACUUCGUGCCAGCAGCCGCGGUAAU
This 441-nucleotide ribosomal RNA is filed under the name uncultured bacterium. RNAcentral's name for it is "bacterial SSU rRNA". It matches the Rfam family "Bacterial small subunit ribosomal RNA", at positions 35 to 524 of the family's 1533-position model. The record is from RNAcentral.